This 67-nucleotide transfer RNA is filed under the name Marmota monax (woodchuck). RNAcentral describes it as "tRNA.Ala". It matches the Rfam family "tRNA". From Rfam's summary of the family: Transfer RNA (tRNA) molecules are approximately 80 nucleotides in length. Their secondary structure includes four short double-helical elements and three loops (D, anti-codon, and T loops). The record is from RNAcentral. Lineage: Eukaryota; Metazoa; Chordata; Mammalia; Rodentia; Sciuridae.
GGUUGUGGCUCAGUGGUGGAGCACUCCUCUUGCACAUGUGAGGCCCUGGGUUCGAUCCUCAGCACCA